GAUGCAGAACGUAGCGAAAUGCGAUAAGUAAUGUGAAUUGCAGAAUCCAGUGAAUCAUCGAAUCUUUGAACGCACAUUGCGCCCGCCAGCAUUCUGGCGGGCAUGCCUGUUCGAGCGUCAUUUCAACCCUCGACCUCCCUUUGGGGAAGUCGGCGUUGGGGACCGGCAGCACACCGCCGGCCCUGAAAUGGAGUGGCGGCCCGUCCGCGGCGACCUCUGCGUAGUAAUCCAACUCGCACCGGAACCCCGACGCGGCCACGCCGUAAAACACCCAACUUCUGAACGUUGACCUCGAAUCAGGUAGGACUACCCGCUGAACUUAAGCAUAUCAAUAAGCGGAGGA
Molecule: unclassified non-coding RNA, 343 nt
Filed under: soil metagenome
Description: partial contains 5.8S ribosomal RNA, internal transcribed spacer 2, and large subunit ribosomal RNA
Rfam family: 5.8S ribosomal RNA (bases 1-120)
Source: RNAcentral